ACGGGAGGCAGCAGUAGGGAAUAUUGCACAAUGGGGGGAACCCUGAUGCAGCAACGCCACGUGUGGGAAGAAGCAUUUCGGUGUGUAAACCACUGUCGUGAGGGAAUAAUGCUUGAUUUCGGUCAAGUUGAAUGUACCUCGAAAGGAAGCACCGGCAAACUUCGUGCCAGCAGCCGCGGUAAUACGGAGGAUGCAAGCGUUAUCCGGAUUUAUUGGGUUUAAAGGGUGCGUAGGCGGACUGUUAAGUCAGCGGUGAAAUACCACGGCUCAACCGUGGGGCUGCCGUUGAUACUGGCGGUCUGGAGUACGAUCGGCGCCGGCGGAAUGUGUCAUGUAGCGGUGAAAUGCAUAGAUAUGACACAGAACACCGAUCGCGAAGGCAGCUGGCGAGAACGAUACUGACGCUGAGGCACGAAGGUGCGGGGAUCAAACAGGAUUAGAUACCCUGGUA
Molecule: ribosomal RNA, 451 nt
Filed under: uncultured Fibrobacter sp.
Lineage: Bacteria; Pseudomonadati; Fibrobacterota; Fibrobacteria; Fibrobacterales; Fibrobacteraceae
Description: partial 16S ribosomal RNA
Rfam family: Bacterial small subunit ribosomal RNA
Source: RNAcentral